This 271-nucleotide unclassified non-coding RNA is filed under the name Hevea brasiliensis (rubber tree). The record is from RNAcentral. Lineage: Eukaryota; Viridiplantae; Streptophyta; Magnoliopsida; Malpighiales; Euphorbiaceae.
AGCCAGCAAAGAUUUCCUAGAAGCUAAGCGAGUUACUAAACAAGCUGACAAAUUCUUUGCUGACCUCGAGGCUAAAGUGACUCAUGUAUCUACGCUAAGGGAUGAUUACAAUGCCUCAAAGAAAGAAAUAGCUCUACUUGAGGUUGAAGAUAUGUCUACUUCCUCAGCUAUACAAGAAAUUGAUGAUAAGAUUGCCAUAUUGCAAUCACGCCGAGCUGCAUUAGCUAAGGUUGCCAACAGAACCAACAAGAAGAUAGCUGAAGCGAAAUCA